ACGGGAGCCAGCAGUGAGGAAUAUUGGUCAAUGGGCGGAAGCCUGAACCAGCCAAGUCGCGUGAAGGAUGAAGGUAUUAUGUAUUGUAAACUUCUUUAGCAGCAGAGUAAUAAGGGGGUCGUGACCUCCGAUGCAAGUAUGCUGAAAAUAAGGAUCGGCUAACUCCGUGCCAGCAGCCGCGGUAAUACGGAGGAUCCGAGCGUUAUCCGGAUUUAUUGGGUUUAAAGGGUGCGCAGGCGGUUUUUUAAGUCAGUGGUUAAAUCGUGAGGCUCAACCUCAUCACGCCAUUGAUACUGGAAGACUUGAUUGCGGUUGAGGUUGGCGGAAUUCGUCGUGUAGCGGUGAAAUGCAUAGAUAUGACGAAGAACACCGAUUGCGUAGGCAGCUGACCAAGCCGUAAAUGACGCUCAUGCACGAAAGUGCGGGGAUCGAACAGGAUUAGAUACCCUGGUA
This 453-nucleotide ribosomal RNA is filed under the name uncultured Porphyromonadaceae bacterium. RNAcentral describes it as "partial 16S ribosomal RNA". It matches the Rfam family "Bacterial small subunit ribosomal RNA", at positions 341 to 792 of the family's 1533-position model. The record is from RNAcentral. Lineage: Bacteria; Pseudomonadati; Bacteroidota; Bacteroidia; Bacteroidales; Porphyromonadaceae.